AAAACUAAAACCACUUCUUUUAAAUUAAAAAGCCAUUUAUUGAACAAGGUACCAAAAAAAAAAACCAUUUAUUGAACCUAUUCUUCAAGAGUUAUGCAGCCUUCAUUGCUCGUCUUCCACCCAUUAAUUCACAGACUAAAAAGUCAUAACAAAUCAACACCAAAGAACUAGGGAAGAAAAGGCAAGAAAAUAGGAACAAGAGCUGGACGAUGAGAGCUAUAACAAACAAUAUGUAUCUUACAAACAGCUUCCACUUAACGGUAAAAAAUCCAUAUCUGUUAAUUAAAGAUUGAGUUCAUAGAAGAUGGAAAAGAAAGAUAAAGAGAGAGAAAAGAGUGGAAAAGUAAGAGAAAAGUG
This 357-nucleotide long non-coding RNA is filed under the name Trifolium pratense (red clover). Its description in RNAcentral is "long non-coding RNA (TPRA_LNC000189)". The record is from RNAcentral. Lineage: Eukaryota; Viridiplantae; Streptophyta; Magnoliopsida; Fabales; Fabaceae.